UCCUAGAGGGUGAGAAUCCCGUACUUACCCGGGUGUCCUUUGCCUCGUGAAGCCCCUUCGAAGAGUCGAGUUGUUUGGGAAUGCAGCUCCAAGCGGGAGGUAAAUUCCUUCUAAAGCUAAAUACCGGCCAGAGACCGAUAGCGCACAAGUAGAGUGAUCGAAAGAUGAAAAGCACUUUGGAAAGAGAGUUAAAAAGCACGUGAAAUUGUUGAAAGGGAAGCUCUUGCCGCCAGACUUGCCGCGGUGGUUCAGCCCCCUCCCCCCGGGGAGGCGGUGUACUCCCCCGCCGGCAGGCCAGCGUUGGUUCGGGCGGCCGGAUAAAGGCCCCAGGAAUGUGGCAUCCUUCGGGGUGUGUUAUAGCCCGGGGCGUAAUGCGGUCAGCCUGGUCCAAGGGAUGCGUUCGCGAGGACGCUGGCGUAAUGGCCGCAAGCGACCCGUCUUGAAACACGGACCAAGGAGUCUAACAUCUGUGCGAGUGUUUGGGUGUCAAACCCAUGCGCGUAAUGAAAGUGAACGGAGGUGGGAACCCCCCGGAGGGGCGCACCAUCGACCGAUCCUGAUGUCUUCGGAUGGAUUUGAGUAAGAGCACGGCUGUUGGGACCCGAAAGAUGGUGAACUAUUCCCGGAUAGGGUGAAGCCAGAGGAAACUCUGGUGGAGGCUCGCAGCGGUUCUGACGUGCAAAUCGAUCGUCAAAUCUAGGAAUAGGGGCGAAAGACUAAUCGAACC
This 727-nucleotide ribosomal RNA is filed under the name Lecanactis mollis. RNAcentral describes it as "LSU rRNA". It matches the Rfam family "Eukaryotic large subunit ribosomal RNA", at positions 202 to 941 of the family's 3401-position model. The record is from RNAcentral. Lineage: Eukaryota; Fungi; Ascomycota; Arthoniomycetes; Arthoniales; Roccellaceae.